GAUAUUAUAGUUUGGACUGUUCACCAUUAACUUUCUUUAUUAUUCUAAACUUAUUAUGAACAUUAGCUCCUCUUCGACUAUUCAAUAAAUUUUUUUAUGGCGAUUUAAUUAUUAUUUUGUUCUAAUAACAGACACCAUAAAUCAUCAUCAUAUCUCACAAGGAGAGGCAAUAUUUAUAAUGUAUUCCAAAUUUUUUAAUGAGAUUGAGAGUUACUGUAAGAAUAUUAAAAAAUUUCUUUGACAGUUCGAUCUCAUUGAUUCUAGAUUUUGAGAAAUCGAAAAUUUCAUAAAGUAUUGAAUGCUCUGCAUUAGUCGUUGCUAGAAUAAUAAUAAGUGGCUUUUGGCUCAAACUUUUGCUUACGGAUGCAGGCAGAAAUUUUUCAGGGUAGAAUAGUACGCCGAAAUAAAAUUAACUAUUUUUUUUUUUUUGUAUGUUAAUUAUAACUGAAAAAUUCAAUGGGGGAGCGCAGGUGCCCUGUCUUGUCUGUUAAUUCUCUGUUGGAUGACCGCAAUGGAAUCGUGCUGUGCUUUCACCUUGGGAAUCAGGUUCAAUUGCCAUACCUCCAAAUGUAUUUUCUGUGGGGUCCAGGCCGGCUUGUUGAGCCGAUUUCUCCAUUUGAAAGCUGUAGUGAUAACUGGAAUGCGUUGUUGCUUAGAACGCCGGGUAGAAAACGACAUUAAAUAACAGAAAAGAGCUUUGUAUCAAGAUGAUACUAAUUCUUAUUUAAAAUAUUAACAUUGUAAAUCCUGAAAGUUCUGACCAUGUUUCACAGUACAGAUAAUAACUGCAAAUACCAGCAAGUUCCAAACACCACCAAAAGAAAAGAUUAAAUGUCUGUGCCACUUUAAUAGCAGAUGGAAAUACAGCAUAUUUAUUGUACAGUAUGUACAAAAUAAUUUAUUAUUAUACAAAUGACUAAAUUUCUUUUGUUUGGAUAUGGAGUAAUAACUUUAAAUCAAGCACUAUAUUGAC
This 973-nucleotide long non-coding RNA is filed under the name Androctonus crassicauda. The record is from RNAcentral. Lineage: Eukaryota; Metazoa; Arthropoda; Arachnida; Scorpiones; Buthidae.